CAAGGGAAGAGGAGAAAAAAAAGUGACUUUACCAAGAUGACACUGCUAAACAAAAUCAGAAAACUUAUUUUUGAAGGUAAAGUUUAAAGUUUUUCUGGUUGAACUCAAAAAUAAGUUUUCUGAUUUUGUUUAGCAGAGUCAUCUUGGUAAAGUCACUUUUUUUUCUCCUCUUCCGUU
RNAcentral lists this microRNA precursor (177 nucleotides) under Xyrichtys novacula (pearly razorfish). Lineage: Eukaryota; Metazoa; Chordata; Actinopteri; Labriformes; Labridae. The record is from RNAcentral.